GACGAACGCUGGCGGCGUGCCUAAUACAUGCAAGUUGAGCGAUGAAGAUUGGUGCUUGCACCAAUUUGAAGAGCAGCGAACGGGUGAGUAACGCGUGGGGAAUCUGCCUUUGAGCGGGGGACAACAUUUGGAAGCGAAUGCUAAUACCGCAUAACAACUUUAAACAUAAGUUUUAAGUUUGAAAGAUGCAAUUGCAUCACUCAAAGAUGAUCCCGCGUUGUAUUAGCUAGUUGGUGAGGUAAAGGCUCACCAAGGCGAUGAUACAUAGCUGACCUGAGAGGGUGAUCGGCCACAUUGGGACUGAGACACGGCCCAAACUCCUACGGGAGGCAGCAGUAGGGAAUCUUCGGCAAUGGACGAAAGUCUGACCGAGCAACGCCGCGUGAGUGAAGAAGGUUUUCGGAUCGUAAAACUCUGUUGGUAGAGAAGAACGUUGGUGAGAGUGGAAAGCUCAUCAAGUGACGGUAACUACCCAGAAAGGGACGGCUAACUACGUG
Molecule: ribosomal RNA, 497 nt
Filed under: uncultured bacterium
Lineage: Bacteria
Description: partial 16S ribosomal RNA
Rfam family: Bacterial small subunit ribosomal RNA
Source: RNAcentral